UUAAGCGACUAAGCGUACACGGUGGAUGCCCUGGCAGUCAGAGGCGAUGAAGGACGUGCUAAUCUGCGAUAAGCGUCGGUAAGGUGAUAUGAACCGUUAUAACCGGCGAUUUCCGAAUGGGGAAACCCAGUGUGNNNNNNNNNNNNNNNNNNNNNNNNNNNNNNNNNNNNNNNNNNNNNNNNNNNNNNNNNNNNNNNNNNNNNNNNNNNNNNNNNNNNNNCUGUGAGCUCGAUGAGUAGGGCGGGACACGUGGUAUCCUGUCUGAAUAUGGGGGGACCAUCCUCCAAGGCUAAAUACUCCUGACUGACCGAUAGUGAACCAGUACCGUGAGGGAAAGGCGAAAAGAACCCCGGCGAGGGGAGUGAAAAAGAACCUGAAACCGUGUACGUACAAGCAGUGGGAGCACGCUUAGGCGUGUGACUGCGUACCUUUUGUAUAAUGGGUCAGCGACUUAUAUUCUGUAGCAAGGUUAACCGAAUAGGGGAGCCGAAGGGAAACCGAGUCUUAACUGGGCGUUAAGUUGCAGGGUAUAGACCCGAAACCCGGUGAUCUAGCCAUGGGCAGGUUGAAGGUUGGGUAACACUAACUGGAGGACCGAACCGACUAAUGUUGAAAAAUUAGCGGAUGACUUGUGGCUGGGGGUGAAAGGCCAAUCAAACCGGGAGAUAGCUGGUUCUCCCCGAAAGCUAUUUAGGUAGCGCCUCGUGAAUUCAUCUCCGGGGGUAGAGCACUGUUUCGGCAAGGGGGUCAUCCCGACUUACCAACCCGAUGCAAACUGCGAAUACCGGAGAAUGUUAUCACGGGAGACACACGGCGGGUGCUAACGUCCGUCGUGAAGAGGGAAACAACCCAGACCGCCAGCUAAGGUCCCAAAGUCAUGGUUAAGUGGGAAACGAUGUGGGAAGGCCCAGACAGCCAGGAUGUUGGCUUAGAAGCAGCCAUCAUUUAAAGAAAGCGUAAUAGCUCACUGGUCGAGUCGGCCUGCGCGGAAGAUGUAACGGGGCUAAACCAUGCACCGAAGCUGCGGCAGCGACGCUUAUGCGUUGUUGGGUAGGGGAGCGUUCUGUAAGCCUGCGAAGGUGUGCUGUGAGGCAUGCUGGAGGUAUCAGAAGUGCGAAUGCUGACAUAAGUAACGAUAAAGCGGGUGAAAAGCCCGCUCGCCGGAAGACCAAGGGUUCCUGUCCAACGUUAAUCGGGGCAGGGUGAGUCGACCCCUAAGGCGAGGCCGAAAGGCGUAGUCGAUGGGAAACAGGUUAAUAUUCCUGUACUUGGUGUUACUGCGAAGGGGGGACGGAGAAGGCUAUGUUGGCCGGGCGACGGUUGUCCCGGUUUAAGCGUGUAGGCUGGUUUUCCAGGCAAAUCCGGAAAAUCAAGGCUGAGGCGUGAUGACGAGGCACUACGGUGCUGAAGCAACAAAUGCCAUGCUUCCAGGAAAAGCCUCUAAGCAUCAGGUAACAUCAAAUCGUACCCCAAACCGACACAGGUGGUCAGGUAGAGAAUACCAAGGCGCUUGAGAGAACUCGGGUGAAGGAACUAGGCAAAAUGGUGCCGUAACUUCGGGAGAAGGCACGCUGAUAUGUAGGUGAAGCGACUUGCUCGUGGAGCUGAAAUCAGUCGAAGAUACCAGCUGGCUGCAACUGUUUAUUAAAAACACAGCACUGUGCAAACACGAAAGUGGACGUAUACGGUGUGACGCCUGCCCGGUGCCGGAAGGUUAAUUGAUGGGGUCAGCGCAAGCGAAGCUCUUGAUCGAAGCCCCGGUAAACGGCGGCCGUAACUAUAACGGUCCUAAGGUAGCGAAAUUCCUUGUCGGGUAAGUUCCGACCUGCACGAAUGGCGUAAUGAUGGCCAGGCUGUCUCCACCCGAGACUCAGUGAAAUUGAACUCGCUGUGAAGAUGCAGUGUACCCGCGGCAAGACGGAAAG
RNAcentral lists this ribosomal RNA (1925 nucleotides) under Escherichia coli. RNAcentral's name for it is "23S ribosomal RNA". It matches the Rfam family "Bacterial large subunit ribosomal RNA", at positions 1 to 2087 of the family's 2925-position model. Lineage: Bacteria; Pseudomonadati; Pseudomonadota; Gammaproteobacteria; Enterobacterales; Enterobacteriaceae. The record is from RNAcentral.